AAGUCGGGAAGUGAAGGAGAUGUCAGGAUGAUGUCACUUCAUUGAAGAAGCGGAACACACCAGGAUGGUGUUGCAAGGAAGGCUUCAGGACGAAGCAAGGAUCACUCAGGAAGAGUAAGGGACACCUCCAGGACGGAGAAAGAGAGCCGAAUUUGGAUGUUCGGUGGGUCUGGAAGACCAAAGGAUAUUGCAUCAGGACGAUGCCGGAACACCUCAGGAUGAUGGUAGCAGGAAGCGAGUACGACGGAUUGUAGGUCAGGAGACCGCAGGACAUAGUUGUCACGGACGAGCAGGGAGCACCAAAAGUAGCCGGAUUAGCUGCGAAACGAACCGGGAGCACUGUUUAUA
Molecule: non-coding RNA, 348 nt
Filed under: Buttiauxella sp. BIGb0552
Lineage: Bacteria; Pseudomonadati; Pseudomonadota; Gammaproteobacteria; Enterobacterales; Enterobacteriaceae
Source: RNAcentral